This 266-nucleotide ribosomal RNA is filed under the name Helicobacter pylori. RNAcentral's name for it is "partial 16S ribosomal RNA". It matches the Rfam family "Bacterial small subunit ribosomal RNA", at positions 1048 to 1315 of the family's 1533-position model. Lineage: Bacteria; Pseudomonadati; Campylobacterota; Epsilonproteobacteria; Campylobacterales; Helicobacteraceae. The record is from RNAcentral.
GCUGUCGUCAGCUCGUGUCGUGAGAUGUUGGGUUAAGUCCCGCAACGAGCGCAACCCCCUUUCUUAGUUGCUAACAGGUUAUGCUGAGAACUCUAAGGAUACUGCCUCCGUAAGGAGGAGGAAGGUGGGGACGACGUCAAGUCAUCAUGGCCCUUACGCCUAGGGCUACACACGUGCUACAAUGGGGUGCACAAAGAGAAGCAAUACUGCGAAGUGGAGCCAAUCUUCAAAACAUCUCUCAGUUCGGAUUGUAGGCUGCAACUGGC